UACGUAGGGUGCGAGCGUUGUCCGGAAUUAUUGGGCGUAAAGGGCUCGUAGGCGGUUUGUCGCGUCGGGAGUGAAAACGCCGUGCUUAACACGGCGCUUGCUUUCGAUACGGGCAGACUAGAGGUAUGCAGGGGAGAACGGAAUUCCUGGUGUAGCGGUGAAAUGCGCAGAUAUCAGGAGGAACACCGGUGGCGAAGGCGGUUCUCUGGGCAUUACCUGACGCUGAGGCGCGACAGCGUGGGGAGCAAACAGG
RNAcentral lists this ribosomal RNA (253 nucleotides) under uncultured bacterium. RNAcentral describes it as "partial 16S ribosomal RNA". It matches the Rfam family "Bacterial small subunit ribosomal RNA", at positions 524 to 776 of the family's 1533-position model. The record is from RNAcentral.